Molecule: ribosomal RNA, 410 nt
Filed under: uncultured Methylomirabilota bacterium
Lineage: Bacteria; Methylomirabilota (SeqCode)
Description: bacterial SSU rRNA
Rfam family: Bacterial small subunit ribosomal RNA
Source: RNAcentral
AGCGUGGAGACAGGUGGUGCAUGGCUGUCGUCAGCUCGUGUCGUGAGAUGUUGGGUUAAGUCCCGCAACGAGCGCAACCCUCACCCCUUGUUGCCAUCAGGUCAUGCUGGGCACUCUAGGGGAACUGCCCCGGUCAACGGGGAGGAAGGCGGGGAUGACGUCAAGUCAUCAUGCCCCUUACGUCCUGGGCUACACACGUGCUACAAUGGCCGGUACAAAGGGAUGCAACGCCGUGAGGCAGAGCCAAACCCAAAAAGCCGGUCUAAGUUCAGAUUGGAGUCUGCAACUCGACUCCAUGAAGGAGGAAUCGCUAGUAAUCGCGUAUCAGCACGACGCGGUGAAUACGUUCCCGGGCCUUGUACACACCGCCCGUCACACCACGAAAGCCAGCUGUACUCGAAGUCGCUGAG